RNAcentral lists this transfer RNA (77 nucleotides) under Calditrichota bacterium. RNAcentral describes it as "Calditrichaeota bacterium (activated sludge metagenome) tRNA-Val". It matches the Rfam family "tRNA". From Rfam's summary of the family: Transfer RNA (tRNA) molecules are approximately 80 nucleotides in length. RNAcentral also lists the same sequence under 1 other name. Lineage: Bacteria; Pseudomonadati; Calditrichota. The record is from RNAcentral.
GGGUCGGUAGCUCAGCAGGUUAGAGCGCUACGUUGACAUCGUAGAGGUCGUCAGUUCGAUUCUGGCUCGACCCACCA